AGAUGGCGACCGGCGCACGGGUGAGUGACACGUAUCCAACCUGCCGAUAACUCGGGGAUAGCCUUUCGAAAGAAAGAUUAAUACCCGAUGGUAUAAUCAGACCGCAUGGUUUGAUUAUUAAAGAAUUUCGGUUAUCGAUGGGGACGCGUUCCAUUAGGCAGUUGGUGAGGUAACGGCUCACCAAACCUUCGAUGGAUAGGGGUUCUGAGAGGAAGGUCCCCCACAUUGGAACUGAGACACGGCCCAA
RNAcentral lists this ribosomal RNA (247 nucleotides) under uncultured bacterium. RNAcentral's name for it is "partial 16S ribosomal RNA". It matches the Rfam family "Bacterial small subunit ribosomal RNA", at positions 86 to 334 of the family's 1533-position model. The record is from RNAcentral.